RNAcentral lists this ribosomal RNA (1436 nucleotides) under uncultured compost bacterium. Its description in RNAcentral is "16S ribosomal RNA". It matches the Rfam family "Bacterial small subunit ribosomal RNA". The record is from RNAcentral.
GAGUGGCGGACGGGUGAGUAACACGUGGGUAACCUACCCUUAAGUGGGGGAUAACAUUUGGAAACAGAUGCUAAUACCGCAUAACCAUUCAGGCCACAUGGUCUGAAUGUAAAAGACGGCCUUUGGCUGUCACUUUUGGACGGACCCGCGGCGUAUUAGUUAGUUGGUAAGGUAACGGCUUACCAUGACAAUGAUACGUAGCCGACCUGAGAGGGUAAUCGGCCACAUUGGGACUGAGACACGGCCCAAACUCCUACGGGAGGCAGCAGUAGGGAAUCUUCCACAAUGGACGAAAGUCUGAUGGAGCAACGCCGCGUGAGUGAAGAAGGUUUUAGGAUCGUAAAACUCUGUUGUUGGAGAAGAACAGGGACUAGAGUAACUGUUAGUCCUUUGACGGUAUCCAACCAGAAAGCCACGGCUAACUACGUGCCAGCAGCCGCGGUAAUACGUAGGUGGCAAGCGUUGUCCGGAUUUAUUGGGCGUAAAGCGAGCGCAGGCGGUUUUUUAAGUCUGAUGUGAAGGCCUUCGGCUUAACCGAAGAAGUGCAUUAGAAACUGGGAAACUUGAGUGCAGAAGAGGACAGUGGAACUCCAUGUGUAGCGGUGAAAUGCGUAUAUAUAUGGAAGAACACCAGUGGCGAAGGCGGCUGUCUGGUCUGUAACUGACGCUGAGGCUCGAAAGUAUGGGGAGCGAACAGGAUUAGAUACCCUGGUAGUCCAUACCGUAAACGAUGAAUGCUAAGUGUUGGAGGGUUUCCGCCCUUCAGUGCUGCAGCUAACGCAUUAAGCAUUCCGCCUGGGGAGUACGACCGCAAGGUUGAAACUCAAAGGAAUUGACGGGGGCCCGCACAAGCGGUGGAGCAUGUGGUUUAAUUCGAAGCAACGCGAAGAACCUUACCAGGUCUUGACAUCCUUUGACCACUGUAGAGAUACAGCUUUCCCUUCGGGGACAAAGUGACAGGUGGUGCAUGGUUGUCGUCAGCUCGUGUCGUGAGAUGUUGGGUUAAGUCCCGCAACGAGCGCAACCCUUAUGACUAGUUGCCAGCAUUUAGUUGGGCACUCUAGUAAGACUGCCGGUGACAAACCGGAGGAAGGUGGGGAUGACGUCAAAUCAGCAUGCCCCUUAUGACCUGGGCUACACACGUGCUACAAUGGUCGGUACAACGAGUUGCGAACCCGCGAGGGUAAGCUAAUCUCUUAAAGCCGAUCUCAGUUCGGAUUGUAGGCUGCAACUCGCCUACAUGAAGCCGGAAUCGCUAGUAAUCGCGGAUCAGCACGCCGCGGUGAAUACGUUCCCGGGCCUUGUACACACCGCCCGUCACACCAUGAGAGUUUGUAACACCCGAAGUCGGUGGGGUAACCCUUUUAGGGAACUAGCCGCCUAAGGUGGGACAGAUGAUUGGGGUGAAGUCGUAACAAGGUAGCCGUAGGAGAACC